CAGCAGCCGCGGUAAUACGAAGGGUGCGGGCGUUAAUCGGAAUUACUGGGCGUAAAGCGUGCGUAGGCGGUGAGUUAAGUCUGCUGUGAAAUCCCCGGGCUCAACCUGGGAAUGGCAGUGGAUACUGGCUCGCUAGAGUGUGUCAGAGGAUGGUGGAAUUCCCGGUGUAGCGGUGAAAUGCGUAGAGAUCGGGAGGAACGUCAGUGGCGAAGGCGGCCAUCUGGGACAACACUGACGCUGAGGCACGAAAGCGUGGGGAGCAAACAGGAUUAGAUACACCGGUAGUCCCUGUCUCUUAUAC
RNAcentral lists this ribosomal RNA (301 nucleotides) under uncultured bacterium. RNAcentral describes it as "partial 16S ribosomal RNA". It matches the Rfam family "Bacterial small subunit ribosomal RNA", at positions 509 to 807 of the family's 1533-position model. The record is from RNAcentral.